RNAcentral lists this long non-coding RNA (5768 nucleotides) under Sus scrofa (pig). RNAcentral's name for it is "lncRNA (ENSSSCG00035053903.1)". Lineage: Eukaryota; Metazoa; Chordata; Mammalia; Artiodactyla; Suidae. The record is from RNAcentral.
CUCUGCAGUGCUCCUGGAUUGAAGAGUGUGGAUUCCAAGGACAAAGAAAGAAAUGGAAGUGAGAGAGAGGAGGGGGAUUACCAUACUACAUGUUGACCAGAUAGGAGCCCAGGCAAAUCGAUGGUGGUGUGAUGGUGAUGAAACUAUGAUGGUGAUAAAGAUGAUGGUAGUGGUGAUGGUGAUGUUUUUAAACAAUGAAACUACUAAUCUUUCACAUGUUGUAUUUCUGCAGUAUUAAAAUCAGAUCAGCAAACAAGGAGAUAAAGGACAUUAGAGGCGAAACAAUAGCAAAGUGAUCUGAUGAGAAAGAGAGCUUUUGGAGUUCCUCUCGUGGCGCAGCAGAAGCGAAUCUGACUAGGAACCAUGAGGUUGCAGUUUGAUCCCUGGCCUCACUCAGUGGGCUAAGGAUCUGGCAUUGCCGUGAGCUGUGGUGUAGGUCGCAGACGGGCGGCUCUGGUCUGGCCUUGCUGUGGCUCUGGUGUAGGCUAGCAGCAACAGCUCCAAUUAGAUUCCUAGCCUGGGAAAUUCCAUAUGCCAUGGGUAUGGCCUAAAAAGACAAAAGAAAAAAAGAAAGAAAGAAAGAAAAAGAGAGCUCCUAACCAAUGAGAAAGUAAGGAAACGAGAAAGUAAGGAAAUGAUAAAUCAAGGUUUUCCCUAAUUAUUGUACUAUACCGGAAAGUGAAUCUAAAUAUUAUUAAUAGUGAAGUAGUUGGCUUCUUUUUUCUUUAGUUCAUAAUAUGUGCCAACUACUGUGUUAAGAAUUUUGCAUGCAUCACUUUUUUCAGGCUAUUAACUUUUUUUAUUAGAGUACAGUUGAUUUACAAAGUCAUGUCAAUUUCUGCUGCACAGCAAAGUGACCCAGUCAUACAUACACACAUAUGUAUACAUUCUUUAUCCCAUACUAUCUUCCAUCAUGUUCUGCACCAAGAGACUGGAUAUAGUUCCCUGUGCUGUAUAGUAGGACUUCAUUGCUUAUCCAUUCUAAAUGUAAUAGUUUGCAUCUACCAACUUCAAACUCCCAGUCCAUCCCACUUCCUCCCCUCUGGCAAUCACAAGUCUGCUCUCCAUGUCCAUUAUCUGUUUCUGUUUUGUAGAUAGGAUCAUUUGUGCCACAUUUUUUUAAAUUUUUUUUUCUUUUCUUUUUUUUUUUUUUUUGUCUUUUGAGGCCCGCACUUGCGGCAUAUGGAGGUUCCCAGGCUAAGGGUCUAAUCGGGCUACUGCUGCCAGCCUACACCACAGCCACAGCAAAACCAGAUCAGAGCCGAGUCUGUGACCUACACAACAGCUCACGGCAACGCCAGAUCCUUAACCCACUGAGCGAUCAGGGAUCGAACCCGCAACGUCAUCAUUCCUAGUCAGAUUUGUUUCUGCUGUGCCGUGACGGGAACUUCAUGCACCAUAUUUUACAUUCCACAUAUAAGUGAUAUCAUAUGGUAUUUGUUUUUCUCUUUCUGACUUAGUCCACUUAGUAUGAUAAUAUCUAGUUAGGAAUAGUAGCAGAUAGAGGAGCUGAACCCAGAACUUCCCAAUCCUAAAAAUUCUGCUUCUAGCUAUUACAUAAGUAGAUCAAGUCCUUUGCUCCCGAUAUUGGUGGAGGAGGCAGAAGGAGCAAUGUGUGGGCAAGACAAACCCUUUGCCUUUGGCUAGUCACUUGGUAACCCAAGUUAAGACCCUUUCAACAGGCUAUGGUUCUGGGGUUAACUGUACUCCUGUUGGUAUGAUCAUUCUAGAUAUCCUGGAUAUUUUCCAUUAGAUUUCAUAUCUUUUAUUGAGGUAUAAUGCACAUCUGUCAAGCUGUUCCUUUCAAAGUGUACACUUCAGUAUUUUCUAGCAUAUUCACAAAGUUGUACAACCACCAUGACUAUCAUUUUCAAGCAUUUCUGGAGCUCUUAGCACAAUGUAGGACUUCUGGGAGGACUGAGGAAAUGUAUUAUCCUGCCUUUACAGAAUGUGCAAUCUUGUCAAGAAGGCAUGAUUUAUAAACUUGAAGCUCCUCACUACUUAUAUCAAAAAGAUAAUACUCUAUGAGAACAUGCAUACGUAUGGUAAGUGCUAAGAGAGCAAGGAUUCAUUGCCAGGGCUGGUGAUGAUGAGGGAGUCCUUAGCAGGGAGGCAGGUCUUGGAUAUGAAGAAAAACUGGAGACAUGAUGUGAGCAGGGAGGGCAUCAGAUGCAAGAAGGUGUCAGGCUAAAUGGCCCAAGCGUUAAACUCUUGCCAAGCAUAACUAUUUGUCCUACUGCGAGACUGGCUGGGACUUCAAUAGGAAAUAGAAAAGAGAUUAGAUGAAGCCCAGUGAUUUCAGCCAGAGAUUGCCAGGCCUAUUUGAAGAUAAUUUAUAUAAUAGUGACCAGCAGCUCCUCUCAGAAACUUGGGUGUGAUGCUCAUUGGUUUCAGCAGGAUAUGUGCUUUGCAGAGCCAAGACAGCAUUUGGCCCUUGGUGGAAAUUCCUGCUUUAAAAAGCCAUUUUGUUCCAUUUUGAAAUAAAGUGGGAGUAAAAGUCAUGCCCCAUGAUGCUUCAUGGUUAAUAAAAUUGCAAAGGCAUUUCUGCCUGGGCAUAAAAGAUUAUUUUAAGCAUCAUCUCCUGGGCCCCUCGGUUACUAAGGGAAUCCUGUCUCAGCUCAGUGGUGCAGACAAGUGAGUUGCCAUGACAAUCCUGCUAGACCUGGUUGGAAUCUAAAUACCACAGAGGGAGGAACUGCUGUCACUGUCUGACCGCUAAGCAGCCUGGCAGUGCCCUCCCUGCCCCUUGCAGUCACCCACUCUUCCUCCUGGACCCUUCUCAGCUUCCCCAGCCCUUGUCACUAAGAGACCAGGCGCAAUAGAAAGGGCAUUUAGGGUUGGUGGCUCAUCCUGCCUGAUGGUCAGUCUCUUCUGUCCCAGAAUGUGCUGUUCAUGCUGGGUGGUAUUCACGUCUCCCUGGGCACCUACAGUCGUUCAAGCCUGGCCUUUGUCUCUCUGAAUAGAGGAAAUACUAGAUAUUUAUCAAGAAGCUGAAAUAGGAAGCAGAAGAAAAUGUGGGAUAAAUCGGAUAAGUCUUGUUUUCUUCCCUACAACCCAGCCAGAAAUUAUCUGAAGCAUUUUCACAGGGAAGUAUUGGUCAAUCAACAAUUGACCAGCAAUUGGUCAAUCCUGCAGAUACCUAGAUGCAAUUCUAUCCUUUUUCAUGGAUACAUCUGUGGUGUUUGUGGCAGAUUAUACUUUAUAAAGAUGGUGGUAACCGUGUCUCCCACCCCAUGUGCUCUUCUCACAAGGCGGCUCUAUCAUGCUCACAUUGAGGCGUGGGUCUCUAUUCCUUCCCUUGAAUCUGGGCCAGCUCAUGUCUGAAGUGAAGUAAUGGCAUGUGAUUUCUGAGGCUAUAUCAUAAAGCAUAACACAGCUGACAUAUGAUUCUCUUGGGAUGCUUGCUGUUGGCAUCUGACCACCACACUGUGAAGAACCCCAAGCAGCCACAUGGUGAGACCACACACUGGUAUUCCAGAGAACAGCCUAAUUGAGGUCCUGGCUGACAGCAUCAAACAAUAGACCUGAAGUGAAAGAGCCUUCAAAUGAUGUCAGCCCCACACCUGACAUCAUCCCUGGUCUUUGAGUCAUCUCAGCAGAGGUCCCAAACAUCAUGAAGCAGAAACAAGCCACCCCCACUGUGCCUUUUCUGACCCUAACCAACAGAAGACAUACAAAAAUAAAAUGGUGGUUGUGCUAUGCCCAAAAGGGUGCAGUGAUUUAUUACCCAGCAAUAGUAGCUGGAACCAUGGUCCUUUUUCUUAGCAUGUUAUUUCUCUACUCUGUUCCUAGGAACUCUUACUCUUCCCUCAAGGAAUAUUCAAAUCUUAUCUUUCAGAUAUACAUCUUUCUCAUCUUAGGUGAGACAGUGUAACAGAGCAGUGGCUCCAACACUUACUUAACAAACUUAAAGUUCAUGAGCUUGGAUGAGCUGCUAGUUCUCUCUAAGCCUCAAAUUCAACAUCUGUAAAUGAGAAUGAAAACAAUAGUGCCUACUUCGUAGGUGAGGAAUAAGUGUAAUGCACUUUGAACAGUGCCUGUCACUUAGCAGGCACAGUUUAAGGGUUGGCUAUUUCUAAUUCUUCUGGGACCCUUUCCAAGUGUAAUCAAAAUCCAAAAUGAAUUCAUUCUCUAGAAUUUCUCAAGACUCUAUCUCUGCUGGGCUCAGACAGGACACCCUGACCCUGGUUCCAGAUUACAAGAGUGUUCACUGGUCUCAAGCUACACUGCAGCCUUCAAAGCUCCAUGGCUUCUGGAGGAAGUCCAGGUGAAGGAGCCUUCCUGGGCUGAAAGCAUCUGGUCCUCUGCUAUGUGAAGCUCCGUGGUCGGUAGGCAUCAACAUUUUUAUUCAAUCAUCAGAGAACUUUAAAUAAAUGUACAUGGAUUUAAUUACAUUAGGUUUCAGAACCAUUCUGAAUACAAAGACAGGAUGCUGGGAAACUUUAAACCCAUAUCACCAUGUGACCACACUAUUGAUGAUUCUUCUUUUCUUCUCCUUCCCCUCCUCCUCCUUCUCUUCUUCUUCACUUUAGGACAAAUGUGUUCCCAUGCUGGUCAGCUCUUGGAACCCUAAAAUCUGUAGGCAAACUUAGGAAUUUAUAAAUAAAAUUGUUUUUUUAAAAGCUUUAUACUGGGAGUUCUCAUCAUGGCUCAGUGGAAACAAAUCUGACUAGUAUCCAUGAGGAUGCAGGUUCAAACCCUAGUCUUGCUCAGUGUGUUGGGGAUCCUGCAUUUCCAUGAGCUGUGGUAUAGGUUGCAGAUUGGGCUCAGAUCCCAUGUUGCUGUGGCUGUGGUGUAGGCCGGCAUCUGUAGCUCCAAUUUGACUCGUAGCUUGGGAACUUCAUAUGCGGAAAGUACAGCCCUAAAAAGCAAAUAAAUAAAAAUAAAAGCUUUAUCCUGAAAAUGAAAUUGGAACUUAGUCUUGCUGGAGGACAUUGAAGCAGAAUCCAUCUUUUUACAGAAUGAAGCUCUAUGGAUUUUGCAAUAUGGCCGUUUAAGUUUUCUAUUCCAGCUAACAGUGGAAUCCCAAAGUUCAAAACUUUCCAAAGUUCAUUUUAUCUAUUCCUCCAUUUAUGCUCAACUAAACUUCAUAACAGCUCUACUGAUUUUAAAACAUUCUAAAUUCUCAUAACUUUAGAAAAAUGGAGGAAAGCCAAGGAUAAUUUAAUUAGAACAUACAUGAAUAUACAAUGUAAAACUAAUCAACAAUAAAAAAUAUAGGAGUUCCUGUCGUGGCUCAGUGGUUAACAAAUCCGACUAGGAACCAUGAGGUUGCAGGUCCAAUCCCUGGCCUUGCUCAGUGGGUUAAGGAUCCAGCAUUGCAGUGAGCUGUGGUGUAGGUUGCAGAAGCGGCUUGGAUCCCGCAUUGCUGUGGCUCUGGUGUAAGCCGGUGGCUACAGCUCCAAUUAGCCUCCUAGCCUGGGAACCUCCAUAUGCAACGAGAGUGGCCCAAGCAAUGGCAAAAAAACAAACAAACAAAAAAGCAUAAUUCUGCCAACCCAAAAGGGCAUAUCACAAACAUUAUAAAAACUAUCUGAAAGGCCCACAGGCAGGAAAACAUAAAAAAGAUAUUUCCUGGAGUUCCCAUCAUGGCACAGUGGAAACAAAUCUGACUAGGAACCAUGAGGUCACGGGUUCAAUCUCUGGCCUCGCUCAGUGGGUUAAGGAUCUGGCAUUGCCGUGAGCCAUGGUGUAGGUCGCAGAUGUGGCAGCAACAGCUCCAAUUAGACCUCUAGCCUGGGAACUUCCAUAUGCGUCAGGCACGGCCC